UUUCUUUUCAUUUGAUCCACUUGACAGCCUGCAUCACCAUUCCACAUCGUUCCAAUCAACCCAAACUAACCUGUAAAAAUUGUAAGAGUGAGUAUUCGAAAACACACAGUAAGAUAUGUGCAGUUUCCAUAUACAUAACAGUAAAAUCAAUAUUUCAUACCACUCUGCUCUUAUGGAGUAUAUCGAUGAUUAAGCGACACACCCAUCUUUGGUCCUCUUUUAUCCUGUAGGAUUUCAUCUCUUAAAAAAAUAAAUUAAUGUCUACUAGCAAUCCAUGCAUAUUUAAUUGCAUAUAAGAACAUAAGGAAAUGAAAACACUUUGCACAUAAAUGUAUCUUACCUCGAUAUAAAAGAAUUUAAAGAAAUAUAAAUGCAAGUUCCAAAUUCUCUUCUCGAAAUUUCUACUUCAAUGAAUAUAGGUAUGCCAGGACUUUCCUUACUGUUUUAAAUGGGUGCAAAUAGACCCGGUUCUCUCUCUCUCUCUCUCUCUUUUCCAAAAUAAACAAAUGGGAUAAUUUUCUUUUCUG
RNAcentral lists this long non-coding RNA (527 nucleotides) under Olea europaea (common olive). RNAcentral's name for it is "long non-coding RNA (OEUR_LNC015459)". The record is from RNAcentral. Lineage: Eukaryota; Viridiplantae; Streptophyta; Magnoliopsida; Lamiales; Oleaceae.